This 494-nucleotide ribosomal RNA is filed under the name uncultured bacterium. RNAcentral's name for it is "partial 16S ribosomal RNA". It matches the Rfam family "Bacterial small subunit ribosomal RNA", at positions 28 to 506 of the family's 1533-position model. The record is from RNAcentral.
GACGAACGCUGGCGGCGUGCCUAAUACAUGCAAGUAGAACGCUGAAGGAGGAGCUUGCUUCUCUGGAUGAGUUGCGAACGGGUGAGUAACGCGUAGGUAACCUGCCUGGUAGCGGGGGAUAACUAUUGGAAACGAUAGCUAAUACCGCAUAAUAGCAGUUGUUGCAUGACAACUGUUUCAAAGGUGCAAUUGCACCACUACCAGAUGGACCUGCGUUGUAUUAGCUAGUUGGUGGGGUAACGGCUCACCAAGGCGACGAUACAUAGCCGACCUGAGAGGGUGAUCGGCCACACUGGGACUGAGACACGGCCCAGACUCCUACGGGAGGCAGCAGUAGGGAAUCUUCGGCAAUGGACGGAAGUCUGACCGAGCAACGCCGCGUGAGUGAAGAAGGUUUUCGGAUCGUAAAGCUCUGUUGUAAGAGAAGAACGAGUGUGAGAGUGGAAAGUUCACACUGUGACGGUAUCUUACCAGAAAGGGACGGCUAACUACGU